GUUACGGUGGCGUAGUGGUUAGAGCAUCAGCCUCUGAUGCAGGAGGUCGCUGGUUUGAACCCCGGCUGAAUCA
Molecule: non-coding RNA, 73 nt
Organism: Potamilus streckersoni
Lineage: Eukaryota; Metazoa; Mollusca; Bivalvia; Unionida; Unionidae
Source: the annotation of a GenBank genome assembly